Hyla sarda is the source of this 551-nucleotide long non-coding RNA. RefSeq lists it as uncharacterized. NCBI's taxonomy places the organism in Eukaryota, Metazoa, Chordata, Amphibia, Anura, Hylidae. The record is from RefSeq and is a predicted model, not a curated record. The transcript has 4 exons.
GAUAAAUCUGGGCCAUUGUCCUUUAAAAGGACAAGGAUGAUGAGAUGGAUGUCAGAGGACCACCUAACACAUUAGAUGGUUAACUGGUCCUGCCAAAAUUUUCUGGUUCAGAUAAAAAAUAUCUUGACUGUACAGAAUCAUAAUGCCAAAAAAUACAGGGGGAAGCAGCCAAGAUCGUAUGCAAGGUCAACAGGAUCUUGAGUCAGCUUUGUGUAUUGGAACAGGUUCCCAUAGCAACUAACAUGCUUUCUGUCUCUGUUGGAACCAUAGAGCCAUAAAGUACAUAAAUCACGCCUUGAUUGUAUGGACCUGCCUGAUCCUUCUUUCCCGUUAUCUGCCACUGAGUGAAUAGUCGUGAGUUGUAAGAUUGUCAGCAACACCAAAAGGCUAAAGUUAAUUUAUGCAGCCCUCUCGCUCUAAUACUGGAAAAUUCCAGUUCUCUGCCCUUCUUAUACAAUCUGCAUCUUCCUCAAAUGUUUUGAUUUCCAACGUCUCAUCUUGAGCCUUCUGGUGUCAUUCCGAGGUUUAUUUUCUGUGGUGUUUUUUUAUUA